Molecule: small RNA, 117 nt
Filed under: Marmota monax (woodchuck)
Lineage: Eukaryota; Metazoa; Chordata; Mammalia; Rodentia; Sciuridae
Source: RNAcentral
GCUGGGUGUGGUGGUAUGCACCUGUAAUGCCAGCUACUCAGGAAGCUGAGGCAGGAGGAUCACUUGAGCCCAGGAGUUUGAGACUAGCUUAGACAAUGAGGUGAGAUCCUGUCUUAA